UCAGAAUGGUUGGAAAUCAUUCGCAGAGUGUAAAGGCACAAGGGAGCUUGACUGCGAGACCUACAAGUCGAGCAGGGACGAAAGUCGGGCUUAGUGAUCCGGUGGUUCCGCAUGGAAGGGCCAUCGCUCAACGGAUAAAAGCUACCCCGGGGAUAACAGGCUUAUCUCCCCCAAGAGUCCACAUCGACGGGGAGGUUUGGCACCUCGAUGUCGGCUCAUCACAUCCUGGGGCUGUAGUCGGUCCCAAGGGUUGGGCUGUUCGCCCAUUAAAGCGGUACGCGAGCUGGGUUCAGAACGUCGUGAGACAGUUCGGUCCCUAUCCGUCGCGGGCGCAGGAAAUUUGAGAGGAGCU
This 352-nucleotide ribosomal RNA is filed under the name Xanthomonas citri pv. citri. RNAcentral's name for it is "partial 23S ribosomal RNA". It matches the Rfam family "Bacterial large subunit ribosomal RNA", at positions 2322 to 2673 of the family's 2925-position model. Lineage: Bacteria; Pseudomonadati; Pseudomonadota; Gammaproteobacteria; Lysobacterales; Lysobacteraceae. The record is from RNAcentral.